CGGGCACAGAGGGAAGCCAGGUGGCGACACCGCGCGGAACCCGAAAGCCGUUCUCAGUUCGGAUCGGAGUCUGCAACCCGACUCCGUGAAGCUGGAUUCGCUAGUAAUCGCGCAUCAGCCAUGGCGCGGUGAAUACGUUCCCGGGCCUUGUACACACCGCCCGUCAAGCCAUGGGAGCCGGGGGGUGCUUGAAGUGCGUCGCCGCAAGGCGCGCCCUAGAGCAAAACCGGUGACUGGGGCUAAGUCGUAACAAGGUAGC
This 259-nucleotide ribosomal RNA is filed under the name uncultured bacterium. RNAcentral's name for it is "partial 16S ribosomal RNA". It matches the Rfam family "Bacterial small subunit ribosomal RNA", at positions 1234 to 1500 of the family's 1533-position model. The record is from RNAcentral.